AAAGGAGCUCUAAAGCUUGCUGCAUAGCACUGCAGCUGCCUGGAGAAUCAACAUUACCCAUGGAAACCUCUGCAGAAAGGUUUCUGCACUCAGCUGCCAUCCUCCAGCUGCAUCAGAAGAGAAGGCUCAAGGCUACUCAUGGCCUGAAAGAAAAAGAAGUUUUGUGAAAACCUUAAACUGGGCUUGACAGCAAGAGCGAGUGGAGCUCCCUGGAACUGCAAGGUUAUAGCAACAACCAUCAGUACAGACAUGCCUCAGUAUUUACAUGGGAUCAAGAUAUCAGCUGAAGUAUCAUGUUUUUAAAUUCCUUUGCAAGGGAAAAAACUGUGAUUGCAACAUCUAGGAUCAAAUUAUUACUUUCUUCUGGCUUACUUUGUCAGGUUACAGAUGACAUCACAUGACUAAUACUGGAGGAAAAAUGUCAUUUUAAUUUUAUGUUAAUUUGCAGGUUGGUGUUCCUAUGACAAAUUGGUACAUUAUCAAAAUUAAAAUAAUUUAAUUUUUCUUUUUCAUAUUUCAGGUAUUUCUGACACUGUUCUUUCCCAUCUUAGAGUAACAUAUGUAUUAUCAUUAACAUAUAUUCUACUUGUGAAAUAUAUUACAUGUGGCUGCUCUGUCUCUCACAUGGCAUUUCUUUGCUUGUGUUACAAAAAGUAGAGGCAGGGACUAUUACUACAUUAAAGCAGGCUAGAUCAUAAAUGUGAAGGUAUACUCACAGUUUUGCUUCACAUCUGCAUACUCAGGGAAAGUAAACAUGAAGGAGCUGCAAGUAGAACAAAAGCAAGUUCAGCCUUCCCUCUGGUAGGAAAAAAUCUGCUGGUGCAUUGGAUAUUGUGCAGAGCAAUGCAGAAUUUCCCCUCUGCACAUUACAGGAUCAAUUAUAGCUCACAGCAAAGCUGCAAGUCUAACAUCUUUAUGCAAGCUGAGAAUCAAAUGGUCAGAUUCUAGGAAGAUGGACACCUUGCUGAGAACUUCCUCAGAUUCACCCAGUGCUUCAAAAAAGGGGGAAAAAAAAGAAGAAAAAAAAAGAAAAGAAAAAAGAAAGAAUUAAAAAGAGAAAGGAAUCUUGGAAGUCCUCUUCUAGGGAGGACACAGCUUUCAAAGUGCACACAGUUUUCAUGAGCAUGACUGGGACUUAUUCUGUGUGGAAAAACACUGUAGUUCUUUUGAUUGUGCUGGCUGUAUUUUAGAGUACUGCUGUGCGGUUACUGCAAGGGGUGGUCAGAGUUCACAGUGUAGGUUCUAACAUGAAACAAAUGCAGGAUUAGCAAGGUGUUGUAUUUCCCACAGCAAUGAUAGUAUGUCCCUGACAAUACAUUUCAUAUUCCCAGGAGAGAAAGGUAAUGCUGGUCCCUGCAGUCAAGCUUAUGUAGUGAUAAUAAACAGUACUUAAAAACCUCACAGUUGCUGUUAAGGGUCCUCACAAAGGAUCAUUUGUAAAGAAACAAAAGACAGCUCUGCUGGACUUAUUUCCGGGAAGAAGUAACAAUUAGGUAACACUUACAUAAGAAUCAAUGUCUGGCUUUAGCUUUUCAAUGGUCUGAUUUGCUGCUCCAGCACCCUUCAGUACCUUUUGUAAACACAUCCUCCUGUGCACUUUUUGGCAACUUGCACUCCCCUGACCCACAGAGCUGUCUCGAUCCAGUCUGCAUUUAACAUCCCUUGCUAAACAGUUUUGAACACUAGUGGAGUAACGUCAAGUAAUAUUUGAGAAAUUUGCAGCAGAUGAUUGCAAGGAGCAAAGCUGUGAGCACUGAAAUGUUGACAAUAAGAGCAUGCAAGAUGCUUAUCUUUCUGAUUUACCACUUACCCUUAAUUAAACUAAAAAACCAAGGCAUCUUGGAUCUCCUCCCUGAACAUACAUACUGCAAUACAGCAAUUGUGUUGAUGGUCUGUACUAUUAAACACGGAUAAAAACGUUCAGAAGAGACAGAAUCUGUCUUUGACAAAUGUGAGGAGAGAUGGGGCAGGACACCACAGAGAACCACUGCAUCAGGGUUUCUGCAGCUCUAAUUUGAACAUGACUAUUUUUAGAAGACCUGUUGUACAUACCAACAACAUUAAUGACUGCCAGAUGAGACAACCAUGUUCCUAAAGCCAGUGACAUCAUCGCGGCUCUCAGGAUUUAACUAAAGCAUAUGUUUGGCAAAUAGUAAUAAAAAGUAACUAAUUCUUCUUGUUUU
This is a long non-coding RNA of Parus major (Great Tit), 2183 nucleotides long. RefSeq lists it as uncharacterized. The record is from RefSeq and is a predicted model, not a curated record. Lineage: Eukaryota; Metazoa; Chordata; Aves; Passeriformes; Paridae. The transcript is spliced from 2 exons.